This 405-nucleotide unclassified non-coding RNA is filed under the name soil metagenome. RNAcentral describes it as "partial contains 5.8S ribosomal RNA, internal transcribed spacer 2, and large subunit ribosomal RNA". The stretch from base 1 to 121 matches the Rfam family "5.8S ribosomal RNA", at positions 35 to 154 of the family's 154-position model. The record is from RNAcentral.
GAUGAAGAACGUAGCGAAAUGCGAUAAGUAAUGUGAAUUGCAGAAUUCAGUGAAUCAUCGAAUCUUUGAACGCACCUUGCGCCCUUUGGCCAUUCCGAAGGGCAUGCCUGUUUGAGUAUCAUGAACACCUCAACUCUUUAUGGUUUUCCAUGAUGAGCUUGGACUCUGGGGGUUUUGCUGGCUCACAGUCGGCUCCUCUAAAAUGAAUCAGCUUACCAGUGUUUGGUGGGUAUCAUGGGUGUGAUAACUAUCUACGCUUGUGGUUUUUCCACCAGGUAACCUUCAGCAGUGGAGGUUCGCUGGAGCUCAUAGAUGUCUCUCCUCAGUGAGGACAGCCCUUUGAAUGUUUGAUCUCAUAUCAGGUAGGACUACCCGCUGAACUUAAGCAUAUCAAUAAGCGGAGGA